GACGAACGCUGGCGGCGUGCUUAACACAUGCAAGUCGAACGGGGCGAAGUGAUAGCUUGCUAUUAUGGAGCCUAGUGGCAAACGGGUGAGUAACGCGUAUCCAACCUUCCCGUUACUUAGGGAUAGCCUUCCGAAAGGGAGAUUAAUACCUGAUGGUGUUGAAAUUCCGCAUGUUAUUUCAACUAAAGAUUUAUCGGUAACGGAUGGGGAUGCGUGACAUUAGAUAGUAGGCGGGGUAACGGCCCACCUAGUCUACGAUGUCUAGGGGUUCUGAGAGGAAGGUCCCCCACACUGGAACUGAGACACGGUCCAGACUCCUACGGGAGGCAGCAGUGAGGAAUAUUGGUCAAUGGUCAGACGACUGAACCAGCCAUGCCGCGUGAAGGUCACGGCCCCUAUGGGUCUUAAACUUCUUUUGCAAGGGAGCAAUAAGCCUCACGUGUGGGGCGAUGAGAGUACCUUGCGAAUAAGCAUCGGCUAACUCCGUGCCAGCAGCCGCGGU
This 502-nucleotide ribosomal RNA is filed under the name uncultured bacterium. Its description in RNAcentral is "bacterial SSU rRNA". It matches the Rfam family "Bacterial small subunit ribosomal RNA", at positions 28 to 521 of the family's 1533-position model. The record is from RNAcentral.